GUUAGAAAUAGAAGUUAUAUAAAAAACAACAGGAAGAAGAAGAGGAAGAAAGCAAGCCAACAUGAAGGAGGAAAGGGAAAGAAAGAAGAAAAGGAAGAAAAAAGGAAAGGAAGGAAGAAUAGAAGGAAAGAAGAAAGGUAGAAAGAAAGAAAGGAUUAAAGGAAGAGAGAAAGAACUGACGAAUGAAGAAAGAAAGGAAAAAAAGGAAGAAAGAAAGGAAAAAGAAUUAAAGGCAUCUUUUCCCCCUCAGUGUGCCCAGGAAGGUCUGGUGGAACAGCAGAUGCCUUGUCAAAUGGACUCCUCUGUGUAG
This 310-nucleotide long non-coding RNA is filed under the name Phasianus colchicus (ring-necked pheasant). Its description in RNAcentral is "lncRNA (ENSPCLG00000016656.1)". Lineage: Eukaryota; Metazoa; Chordata; Aves; Galliformes; Phasianidae. The record is from RNAcentral.